RNAcentral lists this ribosomal RNA (470 nucleotides) under uncultured bacterium. RNAcentral's name for it is "partial 16S ribosomal RNA". It matches the Rfam family "Bacterial small subunit ribosomal RNA", at positions 28 to 523 of the family's 1533-position model. The record is from RNAcentral.
GGCGAACGCUGGCGGCGUGCUUAACACAUGCAAGUCGAGCGGGGAACUUCGGUUCCCAGCGGCGGACGGGUGAGUAACACGUGGGUAACCUGCCUCAUAGUGGGGAAUAGCCUUCCGAAAGGAAGCUUAAUACCGCAUAAUACUCGGAAAUCACAUGUUUUCUGAGCCACAGGAUUGAUUCGCUAUGAGAUGGACCCGAGGCGCAUUAGCUUGUUGGGGAGGUAACGGCUCACCAAGGCUUCGAUGCGUAGCCGACCUGAGAGGGUGAUCGGCCACAUUGGAACUGAGACACGGUCCAGACUCCUACGGGAGGCAGCAGUGGGGAAUAUUGCACAAUGGGGGAAACCCUGAUGCAGCAACGCCGCGUGGGUGAUGAAGGUCGUCGGAUCGUAAAACUCUGUCUUAGGGGACGAUAAUGACGGUACCAUAGGAGGAAGCCACGGCUAACUACGUGCCAGCCGCCGCUGUAA